CUCUGUCUCUGUCUCUGUUUCAGACAUUUAUAGCAUUUCGCGCCGAAUGUGUAAAUCUUCUUGCUUUCCAUGUUGAUUUUUCACGAGUCAAUUUUCUUCUAUACUUUUGGCAGGAAGGAAAUAUUCUACUACAUAUCUCUGUACAAUGGCCUUGCCGGGCUAGGUGUCCGAAUUAAAAACUAAGGCUAUCACCGUCACGAAUAUAUAUGUUAAAUACAGUGUAAAAGAUCUUAUUUCACGUGCGUUCAAACAUUCAAAUACAAUGCACGAUGCGUGAGAAUGCUUAGAGGUAGAGACGGGGGAACAGUGAUGAAAUAAUGUUCCAAAAAUUAAAGGUUUAUUGUCAGGAAAUAUUGAUAUUAACUUUCUAGUAUGAAAUUAAAAGUUAGUAUCCUUGUGUCAAAAUAAGGAGUCAAUCUGAUAAAUCUUAUUAGAAUGAAA
Molecule: long non-coding RNA, 441 nt
Organism: Bombus pascuorum
Lineage: Eukaryota; Metazoa; Arthropoda; Insecta; Hymenoptera; Apidae
Exons: 2
Source: RefSeq, a predicted model, not a curated record